CCUACGGGAGGCAGCAGUGGGGGAUAUUGCACAAUGGGGGAAACCCUGAUGCAGCGACGCCGCGUGGGUGAAGAAGCGCCUCGGCGCGUAAAGCCCUGUCAUCAGGGAAGAAAAUGACGGUACCUGAAGAAGAAGCCCCGGCUAACUACGUGCCAGCAGCCGCGGUAAUACGUAGGGGGCAAGCGUUAUCCGGAUUUACUGGGUGUAAAGGGGGCGCAGACGGCGAUGCAAGCCAGGAGUGAAAGCCAUGGGCCCAACCCCGGGACUGCUCUUGGAACUGCGUGGCUAGAGUGCAGGAGGGGCAGGCGGAAUUCCCGGUGUAGCGGUGAAAUGCGUAGAUAUCAGGAGGAACACCGGUGGCGAAGGCGGCCUGCUGGACUGCAACUGACGUUGAGGCCCGAAAGCGUGGGGAGCAAACAGGAUUAGAUACCCCAGUAGUC
RNAcentral lists this ribosomal RNA (440 nucleotides) under uncultured bacterium. RNAcentral describes it as "partial 16S ribosomal RNA". It matches the Rfam family "Bacterial small subunit ribosomal RNA", at positions 338 to 795 of the family's 1533-position model. The record is from RNAcentral.